GUGGGGAAUUUUGGACAAUGGGCGCAAGCCUGAUCCAGCAAUGCCGCGUGAGUGAAGAAGGCCUUCGGGUUGUAAAGCUCUUUUGUCAGGGAAGAAACGGUGGGGGCUAAUAUCCUCCACUAAUGACGGUACCUGAAGAAUAAGCACCGGCUAACUACGUGCCAGCAGCCGCGGUAAUACGUAGGGUGCAAGCGUUAAUCGGAAUUACUGGGCGUAAAGCGUGCGCAGGCGGUUUUGUAAGUCUGAUGUGAAAUCCCCGGGCUCAACCUGGGAAUUGCAUUGGAGACUGCAAGGCUAGAAUCUGGCAGAGGGGGGUAGAAUUCCACGUGUAGCAGUGAAAUGCGUAGAGAUGUGGAGGAACACCGAUGGCGAAGGCAGCCCCCUGGGUCAAGAUUGACGCUCAUGCACGAAAGCGUGGGGAGCAAACAGG
RNAcentral lists this ribosomal RNA (430 nucleotides) under uncultured Massilia sp. Its description in RNAcentral is "bacterial SSU rRNA". It matches the Rfam family "Bacterial small subunit ribosomal RNA", at positions 354 to 776 of the family's 1533-position model. The record is from RNAcentral. Lineage: Bacteria; Pseudomonadati; Pseudomonadota; Betaproteobacteria; Burkholderiales; Oxalobacteraceae.